RNAcentral lists this long non-coding RNA (1320 nucleotides) under Betta splendens (Siamese fighting fish). RNAcentral's name for it is "lncRNA (ENSBSLG00000022403.1)". The record is from RNAcentral. Lineage: Eukaryota; Metazoa; Chordata; Actinopteri; Anabantiformes; Osphronemidae.
GUCAGGACGAGGAGAAAGAGAAAACACGAGGCACAGAUUUCCACAGCACAUUGGACACAGCGUGACCCUUUGACAGGCGCCAUGAGAAGCAGAGCGAAAACUGUUCCAUUAAUGAGGCAGCGCGAGGGAAAUGAUGAGGCCCAAAGAAACACGCUGUAAAGUUCAUUCACGCACAUUCGGCAAGUGUCAAUGAGCUGGACGCCGGGAGCAGAUGCAUGUUGGGCGCUGGGCUGUCGAUACGCUCUCAGACAAGCAGCUGUCCAGUGUCUGUGGCGCCGUAACAAGCUGCAGAGCCUCACCUCGGCCUCACCUCUGGCCUCGGCUGGGCCGGCCAUCUGGGGGCCCGGUGCCUCCAAUCCUGAUAAUAACGGUGGCAUUGAUCGCUGCGCCUGGGAUGGCCAAUUACUGCUCCCAUAGCAUCUAAUGAGGAGCAAUCGCUUCUGGCAAUUACUACACGAAGGUCCUGAGAUGGAAAGCUGCAAACGCAAGAAGGUGCAAGUGAGACAAAUUACCACAGCAGCCAUACAUGGAAAGUAAAUUAAACUAAAUAAAAAUGCAAACGUUUUUAUGAUCUUUACAUACAUAUCACAUGGGGAGAAAUAAAAACAUUAUAAAUAUAUUAUUAUUUAAGUUCAUAAGAAGCAAGUGAUGGAUUUUCUUUUACUUUUAUUAUUAAUUUUUGAAAUUUAGCUGUGAUGCUCGUAAUGGUCACAAGGGGCGUUACAACAAGAAUCUGAUCCGAAGAAGAAGUACGCAGCGUGGCGGGCACUUUUUUCCCCUUAAUGCUAAUUUUUAUUCAUUUUUCUUUGUUUUGUUGUUGUGUUUAUAUUAAUUUUCUUCAUCGUCUAGAGAAAUAAUUUAUUGAUAUUUUAUCUGACCAACACUGUACCAGUGGGUGGAAACGUGGGGCCAGCUCCAGGAUCGUUAACAAGUUGUUAUGAGACCUCAACCUGUGACUCUUGGAGUGGAUGCAGGCCAGCUGUCAGACAACAGACACGACAGACAUGUGAGGAGCGACGACUGCGAUGCGAGAUCUCCAGAAGGAGAGUGGGGCUCUUCGUGCUCAAACCAACGCUCAAACCUCAGUUUCACACGCUGGCUGUUGCGCGGCUGCAGCUGGGUUUUCCGUGACCUGAUCCUGAUGAGAACCCAACAACGCGGCCGGGUAUGAGGGAUACUGCAUGUGACCCAGAAACAUGGAAUGUAGUAGACGAGAGAGACAGGUUCCUCAUGUUUCACUUCAGUCCUUUGAUAGAGAAGAAACAGGAAAAUCUCUUUUCCCUAAAUAAAACCAUGAUUGGAAAAAAAGGAACCCGUGAA